AGCGAACGCUGGCGGCGUGCCUAACACAUGCAAGUCGAACGUGAAAAGGGAAACCUGAGUAAAGUGGCGUACGGGUGAGUAACGCGUAGGUAAUCUACCCCAGAAUCUGGAAUAACCUGCCGAAAGGCGGGCUAAUACUGGAUAGAGCGAGGGAACUCGUAAGAGAGUUUUUCGGGAAAGGGAGCCCGCAAGGGCCUUCGUUCUGGGAUGAGCCUGCGUCUCAUUAGCUAGUUGGUAAGGUAACGGCUUACCAAGGCGAUGAUGAGUAGCUGGUCUGAGAGGAUGGUCAGCCACACUGGGACUGAAACACGGUCCAGACUCCUACGGGAGGCAGCAGUGGGGAAUCUUGCGCAAUGGACGAAAGUCUGACGCAGCCACGCCGCGUGAGUGAAGAAGGCCUUCGGGUUGUAAAGCUCUGUCGGAUGGGACGAACAUCUUCAUAGUGAAUAGCUAUGAGGACUGACGGUACCAUCAAAGGAAGCACCGGCUAACUCCGUG
This 498-nucleotide ribosomal RNA is filed under the name uncultured bacterium. RNAcentral's name for it is "partial 16S ribosomal RNA". It matches the Rfam family "Bacterial small subunit ribosomal RNA", at positions 29 to 507 of the family's 1533-position model. The record is from RNAcentral.